GCCCUGCCUGUGGCCCCGGCUACUCCGGAGGCUGAGGCGGGAGCAGCGCUUGAGCCCGGGAGCUCUGCGCUGUAUGCGCUGUGCCCAUUGCGCGGCGACACGCAUCUGUGUUCCGCAUCGGUGUGGUGACCUCCCGGGAGCAGGGACCACCAGGUUCCCCAAGGAGUGGGGAACUGGCCCAGCUCGGAAACCGGGCAGGGCAAAACUCCUGUGCUGAUCGGUAGCGGGAUCGCGCCUGUGAAUAGCCACUGCCCUCCAGCCUGGGCAAUACAGCGAGACCCCAU
Molecule: non-coding RNA, 284 nt
Organism: Homo sapiens (human)
Lineage: Eukaryota; Metazoa; Chordata; Mammalia; Primates; Hominidae
Rfam family: Metazoan signal recognition particle RNA
About the family: The signal recognition particle (SRP) is a universally conserved ribonucleoprotein.
Source: Rfam